RNAcentral lists this ribosomal RNA (497 nucleotides) under uncultured bacterium. RNAcentral describes it as "partial 16S ribosomal RNA". It matches the Rfam family "Bacterial small subunit ribosomal RNA", at positions 34 to 507 of the family's 1533-position model. The record is from RNAcentral.
UCUGCCCGCUGGCGGCGUGCCUAAUACAUGCAAGUCGAGCGAACAGACGAGGAGCUUGCUCCUCUGACGUUAGCGGCGGACGGGUGAGUAACACGUGGAUAACCUACCUAUAAGACUGGGAUAACUUCGGGAAACCGGAGCUAAUACCGGAUAAUAUAUUGAACCGCAUGGUUCAAUAGUGAAAGACGGUUUUGCUGUCACUUAUAGAUGGAUCCGCGCCGCAUUAGCUAGUUGGUAAGGUAACGGCUUACCAAGGCAACGAUGCGUAGCCGACCUGAGAGGGUGAUCGGCCACACUGGAACUGAGACACGGUCCAGACUCCUACGGGAGGCAGCAGUAGGGAAUCUUCCGCAAUGGGCGAAAGCCUGACGGAGCAACGCCGCGUGAGUGAUGAAGGUCUUCGGAUUGUAAAACUCUGUUAUUAGGGAAGAACAAAUGUGUAAGUAACUAUGCACGUCUUGACGGUACCUAAUCAGAAAGCCACGGCUAACUACGUG